Molecule: non-coding RNA, 87 nt
Filed under: Sulfitobacter indolifex
Lineage: Bacteria; Pseudomonadati; Pseudomonadota; Alphaproteobacteria; Rhodobacterales; Roseobacteraceae
Description: Oceanibulbus indolifex Glycine sequence
Rfam family: Glycine riboswitch aptamer
About the family: This family represents the bacterial glycine riboswitch. Glycine riboswitches usually consist of two metabolite-binding aptamers domains with similar structures in tandem.
Source: RNAcentral
GCAAUCGUCACGGGAGAAUCGGUUAAUACCGAUGCCGAAGGAGCAACCGCCCCGGAAACUCUCAGGCCCCAGGACCGCGACGUGACC